This 234-nucleotide ribosomal RNA is filed under the name uncultured bacterium. RNAcentral's name for it is "partial 16S ribosomal RNA". It matches the Rfam family "Bacterial small subunit ribosomal RNA", at positions 103 to 334 of the family's 1533-position model. The record is from RNAcentral.
CGGGUGAGUAACACGUGAGUAACCUGCCCCCUUCUUCUGGAUAACCGCAUGAAAGUGUGGCUAAUACGGGAUAUUCUGCGCCUGCUGCAUGGUGGGUGUGGGAAAGAUAUUGUUUCGGUGGGGGAUGGGCUCGCGGCCUAUCAGCUUGUUGGUGGGGUGAUGGCCUACCAAGGCGGUGACGGGUAGCCGGCCUGAGAGGGUGGACGGUCACACUGGGACUGAGACACGGCCCAG